RNAcentral lists this long non-coding RNA (583 nucleotides) under Vigna radiata. RNAcentral's name for it is "long non-coding RNA (VRAD_LNC006785)". Lineage: Eukaryota; Viridiplantae; Streptophyta; Magnoliopsida; Fabales; Fabaceae. The record is from RNAcentral.
GGUCACAUGAUGUGGUUGCAGCGCCAGAAUUCCUUCUAAGAAAAAUUCGGUAACCCCCAAGAUCACCCUCAAAACCCUAAUUAACUCACUCUCUUAGAUCACACCUUCACUUUUAUUCUGUUUCUAUUCUUCAAUUUAUUAUUAUAUUAAACAAUCUUGAUCUUCCGCUGUUUAUCAAUUUGAAUUAUACAUAUGUUGUAUGUUUAUCAAUUGUGAAACUGCUCGAUAGCACAUGUUAAAACAGAAACGAAGAGAGGCACAAAGUGACUGCAAAAGCGCAAGAGAGGAAGAAGAAAUAAUGAAACAGUCUGAGGAAGAAGACGAACAAGAAGAACUUCUGUGCUUUACGAGAGCCAUUAAUAGGUCAUCACUGGACUAGGUAGAAGUUAACAUAUAUUAAUUCUAAAAAUUAAAUUUUACUGCAGGAUAAAACAGAAAAGUGUUGGGAGCGUGGUGGUGUAUAGAGCAACGUCCCCAACAAAAGGUUUCAAUUAUACUUGUAGCAAAUAGUUCUUUUGUUUAUUCUGUCUAUGAGACUUUAAUUAUUCUCUCAAAUAACAUUUUUAAUAUCUCUGAUACGAAU